This 1432-nucleotide ribosomal RNA is filed under the name metagenome. RNAcentral describes it as "bacterial LSU rRNA". It matches the Rfam family "Bacterial large subunit ribosomal RNA", at positions 1500 to 2925 of the family's 2925-position model. The record is from RNAcentral.
AAAUAUGUUGGUCUAAGUAUGUAGAGGGUACCAUAGGCAAAUCCGUGGUACGUAACCUUGAAAUAUGAUAGAUAGGGAAAGGUUCGCUAAGUACCGAAGUAUCUGACGCUUUGCUUCUAAAAAAAGCUUCUAAGUUUGGUUCGACCAAAAAUAAUAAUAUUACCCGUACCGAGAACGAACACACGUGGUCGAGGAGAAUAUCCUCAGGCAAGCGAGAUAACUAUGGUUAAGGAACUUUGCAAAUUAGCCCCGUAAGUUCGCGAGAAGGGGUGCCUGUGAAAACACAGGCCGCAGUUAAGAGGCACGAACGACUGUUUACCAAAAACACAGCUCUCUGCUAAGGAGUAAUCCGAUGUAUAGGGGGCGACGCCUGCCCGGUGCUGGAAGGUUAAGAGGAUGAGUUAGCCGCAAGGUGAAGCUCUGAAUUGAAGCCCCAGUGAACGGCGGCCGUAACUAUAACGGUCCAAAGGUAGCGAAAUUCCUUGUCAGGUAAGUUCUGACCCGCAUGAAAGGCGUAACGAUUCGUGCACUGUCUCAACCAUAGACUCGGUGAAAUCUUAGUACCUGUGAAGAUGCAGGUUACCCGCAACUAGACGGAAAGACCCCGUGGAGCUUUACUGCAACCUGAUAUUGACUUUUUUUCUGAACUGUGCAGGAUAGGUGGGAGACUGUGAAGUUGGUUCGCUAGAAUCAACUGAGUCAACGGUGAGAUACCACUCUGUUCAGCAGAAAAGUCUAACUUAUUGGUUUUACCACCAAAAGGACAGUGUUUGGUGGGUAGUUUAACUGGGGCGGUUGCCUCCUAAAAAGUAACGGAGGCGUUCAAAGGUAUCCUCAGCAGGAAUAGAAAUCCUGUGAUGAGCGUAAAGGUAGAAGGAUGCUUAACUGUGAGACUGACCAGUCGAACAGAUACGAAAGUAGGACUUAGUGAUCUGCCGAUGCUUAGUGGUAAGGUCGGCACUCAACGAAUAAAAGUUACCCCGGGGAUAACAGGCUUAUCUUUUCCAAGCGACCAUAGCGACGAAAAGGAUUGGCACCUCGAUGUCGGCUCUUCUCAUCCUGGUGGUGAAGAAGCUACCAAGGGUUGGGCUGUUCGCCCAUUAAAGAGGAACGUGAGCUGGGUUCAGAACGUCGUGAGACAGUUUGGUUCCUAUCUAUUGCGGGCGCAGGAAAUUUGCGGGGGGCUGUCCCUAGUACGACAGGACCGGGAUGGACUAACCAAUGGCGUACCAGUUGUCAUGUCAAUGGCACGGCUGGAUAGUUAUGUUAGGAAUAGAUAAGCGCUGAAAGCAUCUAAGUGCGAAGCUAGCCCCAAGAUGAGAUUUCCCAUCCCGAAAGGGAGUAAGAUACCUUCUAGACUAGGAGGUUGAUAGGCACCAAGUGCAAGCAGAGUAAUCUGUUUAGAGCUAAGUUGUACUAAUUUUUCGAGGGA